AGCUUUCUUCAACUUUCAGUGCGGAACUUCUAAAGGACUGAAAGGGUGGGAAACAGCACAGGGUAAAUCCCAGCCUGCCUCCUCACCUCCACUAAAAGUGAAAUAAUUUCCCUGAUUGACUACUGAUUGCCACAAAUGAGUGCAAAGAAAGGCUGUGAUGACAGGAAGUUAGAACUUUACCCACAUCUCUUCAUAUGUUUUCUUGAGUCCUCCAGAAUAUUUCAGACUUGUCACAACAUACUGAGUGAAGACAUUGAAGCCUAUUGAAGCAAUGACCAGCCUCACCAUUGCACAGCUUCCUACUGCCAUAGGAGAAAUUUGGACCAACAAAAUAUUUCCACCACAAUAGUAAUAUAAAC
Girardinichthys multiradiatus is the source of this 359-nucleotide long non-coding RNA. RefSeq lists it as uncharacterized. NCBI's taxonomy places the organism in Eukaryota, Metazoa, Chordata, Actinopteri, Cyprinodontiformes, Goodeidae. The record is from RefSeq and is a predicted model, not a curated record. The transcript has 4 exons.